Molecule: ribosomal RNA, 174 nt
Filed under: Triticum aestivum (bread wheat)
Lineage: Eukaryota; Viridiplantae; Streptophyta; Magnoliopsida; Poales; Poaceae
Description: partial small subunit ribosomal RNA
Source: RNAcentral
AUGCAUGUGCAUCCUGGCUGGGAGGGAUCAGCCUCAGAUACAAGGGUUCUCCAAGAUGCACUUAACCAUGGAUUUCAAGUACCUCAUGGUAAAUAUUAUCUUGUAGAUGCGGGUUAUGCAAACACACCACAAUUUCUUGCCCCAUAUCAUGGAACUAGAUACCAUUUGCAAUAA